Molecule: long non-coding RNA, 2725 nt
Organism: Cuculus canorus (common cuckoo)
Lineage: Eukaryota; Metazoa; Chordata; Aves; Cuculiformes; Cuculidae
Exons: 3
Source: RefSeq, a predicted model, not a curated record
CAACUUAUUUAUCGAGUCUUCACUGUUUUCAGCCCGUCUCUUUAUCUAUCCCUUAUUACAUCUAGUACCUGGGUGUCUGAUACUCUUCUGUGGAUUUUAGCCUGACAACACCCCUGUCAGGCCCAUAACCUAAUCCUGUGGCAAGAACAAAAGGCAUGGCUGGAGAUUGUCGGACCAGAGUCAAAGUGUCAUAAAGGAAAGCCAAAACCGCAGUUGUUGGAGAGUCAAAGGAUGAGGAAGUUUUGGGAACUGAUUAGAGAGCAGAACUGACACUGACACACAUCCCAUUCCUCCACUACGCAGGGUCUGAUCUCUUGGGAUGCUGUCAGCUGCAGCUGGGGAUUUGGCUUAUCGGGGACCCUCCGCAUCAGUAGGCACCUGCCUGUGGCCAGGGGAGUUAGACCCAACACUGAAAGCACACCUGAAUUGUCUGGGAGACAAAUGAAGUCCAAAGGACAAGUUGGCCAUCUUCACUACGGAAGUCCUGUGGUUGGCUAGAAAAGCAGCUGUUAUUCUCAAUUGGUUAUUUUAUGAGGAUUUCCCUGUUUAUUAUGUAGGAAUCUGAAUAAUAAACUUGUGGAUCAGUCAUGUGUCUAGCUAAUUCCAUACAUUUGUAUAUGGGAGCUAAUUUAAAGAGAAAAGCUCUGUAAUAAAUAGCAGUUACACAGGAAAAAACAUCUCCCAGAAAUAACAAUUUCCCCCUCUCUUCAAUACUCAGAGAUUGGCCUCAUUUCUACUUUUAAUCCAAAACUUGGUUUUUAGAGUAAAAUUUCAUUGGAACAUUCUUGUUAGCUAUGAGCUUUGUGUAAGUAAAUAAAAAAAAAUUAAAGUUUUGUCCAAUUGUAAUUCUUGUGACAAUAGCUUCUGCUGUCUGAUCAAGAAUGAUAUAUUGCCAGUUUUCGGUUGUUCCUUCUCAACAGUUUUGUUCGUCUUUUUUCUCAUUUUCUUGUAAGAAAUAAUAACUAACAGAUAAAAGCUAGCAAUACAAACAUUUUUGCUUUUUUGGUGGUAAGGAAUGUCAAACACUAUGUUACAAAAGAAGUCACAGGUAGUGUGUUAAUUUGAAUGUGACAUUUAGCUCUUAAUGUAAAAAACCGAAACAAAAGAAAAUCAAAACAGUGAAAAGAAAGAACUCAUGGAACCCAGGAAGUAACCAUCGAAUGCAAUAUCAUUUGUUAUCUUGUGCAAGAAGAGCCUUAGAAGUUAUCUUGAAUUUAGAGCUUUUUUUUUGAAUGUUAAGGCAAGAGGGAUAGCAAGGAGAGUUCAGAUCAGAAUAUGUAUAUUUAAACAAAGUAUUAAGUUUUGGUGUGGGAUAGAUCCAAACCCAAAAGAGGCCUAUUUUCUUCAUGCUGGUUUUCAAAUUGAAAAAAUGUUCCAAGAACAACUAUUCUCAUGAGGUUUUGGCCCAAGAUGUUAGGAAAAAACAGAUGAUCUCACAAGACCUCUGACAUCCAAAGAGCAAAAAAAUCUCACAAGUCAGAUUCUGCUACAUGCUGCCUCUUAGGGACAAAAAUUUGUUGAGAACAAUCUACAGAAAUAUUAGGCUAUUGAACUAAAUAUAAACAAUCUAGAGAUUAUUUUUUAGCCUUAUUGUCUAAAUCCAAAUUUGACCACAAGAUGGGUAUGAUCUCCUCAGAGUAACCUAUCAUUGAUGGCCAUCUCUCACACCUAUCAGCAAUGGUUGGCUGGAAAAAUAAACAUUUAAAGAAAGAAUAUGGCAAAAGGAACAUCACAUUACAAAAUGACUAGUAUAUUUUCAUAUCCCAAUAGCUUUCAUAAUCAAAUUAGAAAUGAUGACAUGAAGUACCCAGUUCUUUAUUGUGACAAGAUAAAAGGAGGAAGAUGGAAGAAGAAGACAGUUUGAUUGUGGAGAUAUAGUGUGGUGGGGCUGAUUUUGAACAGCAAUUUGGGUCAGCUCAGAAAACUACUAUCUUUAAUUUUGUGUUUAGUAAAGGCUGAGAGAGUCAACAAAUACUGCUUAAUUUACACAUACACAAUAUCACGCACACAGUUACGUAUGGAUUCAGUUUGAACCAUGUGAAUAUUUACAUUUCUAUAUUCGUAAGUAAGGUACUUGACAUGUAGGUGACAUUAAAUACAAUCACUGAUAGGUGGGUCUAAAAAUUAUAAAAUGCUAUAAAAUGUUUUCUGCACCUUGUUCUCUGGACGAGAACUUCAAUAGAUAUAAACUGGCUUAGAUCCACUUAUUUCAGCGUCUAUUUUAUAGCAGCUUUAAGCCUGGCCUUAUCUAUUUGUUGUACACAAUCAUAUUCCCUGAUUAUCUAAAAAUAACACCUUAUGAUUGAGAGAUGUUGUCAGUUUUGGAACAGGAUUUUCUGUAACUUUUUGAAUUUUACUAAACUGAGAAAAUAGAACGUGGAAUAGUUUUUGUCAGAUUUUUAAGUUAUGAGUACAGAGAGGAUCUUAGAAGAAAAUAAUAUAUCAAGCUCAUGAGUGUAAGACAGAUAUUUGUGCCAUGAUUUGCUUCAGCCUUGUAGAAUGAAAGUAGGAGUAAUAAAAUGUGCAGAGGAGUGUGCAAACUGUUGUAUCCCCUGAAUUCAUUGAAGAUGAUGUGAAAAAGUUGUUUGUAUGCUUUAUUAUGUGUGGAAAUCCUAUAAAAAAUGCUAGCUUGGAAGUAAAAGCGGUCAGAGAUAAAGAUCAGCAUGAUGGGGUUGACACUGCAAUUAAACCUGAAAAUCUCUUUUUAUGUUACACAUUAAAAAUC